This 253-nucleotide ribosomal RNA is filed under the name uncultured bacterium. Its description in RNAcentral is "partial 16S ribosomal RNA". It matches the Rfam family "Bacterial small subunit ribosomal RNA", at positions 524 to 776 of the family's 1533-position model. The record is from RNAcentral.
UACGAAGGGUGCAAGCGUUACUCGGAAUUACUGGGCGUAAAGCGUGCGUAGGCGGUUUCUUAAGUCCAUUGUGAAAGCCCCGGGCUCAACCUGGGAAUGGCAGUGGAUACUGGGAAGCUGGAGUGCGGUAGAGGAGGGUGGAAUUCCCGGUGUAGCGGUGAAAUGCGUAGAGAUCGGGAGGAACACCAGUGGCGAAGGCGGCCCUCUGGACCAGCACUGACGCUGAGGCACGAAAGCGUGGGGAGCAAACAGG